AACAGGAAAACCCAAAUGGGAUGACCAGGAAGCAGACAUGGAUUCAGCUCCAAAAACAUGGGAGGAUGUUUGCUUAGCCGACAAGGAAGCAGGUUUACAGGGUAACCAGCCACCAGCCGUAAGCCUUCACGCUGCCUCUGGAGACCACGGAAGGAGCCUUCUCCCCGGAGGCUUUCGGAUGCCUUAGGAUGACUUUCACAACUACCAGUUUUGAGGCGACACAAGGAGCCAGGGCUCUUGGUGCCUUCUCUAAAAGAAAACGCACGGCUACUCAGGGUGACGAAGACUCUCUACUUUAUCUUGUAGAUGAAGUUUUAUUUUGCCUUCACUUUCGCCGUGAGAUUGAUGAUCUCUCUGGAAUUUAUCUGUGUGUAUGACGUGAGGUAGGCGUCAAGACUCAUUUCUUUCCUGUGGCCAUCCAACUGACCCCGUACUGUUUAUUAUUAAAGUGACCAUCCAUUCCCUACGGCCCCUCAGUGCCCCCGUGUCAUAAAUCAAGUGUCCAGAUAUCUAUGGGCUGUCACUAGGCUCUCUGUUCCAUUCCUUUGAUCAAAAUCAGAUAGACAAAUUGUUCUCCUCUUGUAGUGUAGCACCCCAGCCUUCAAUCAGGUGAUUUUUGACAAGUAAAGUUCCAGAAAAUAUAAAUCGGAGAAGCAAAGUUCAGUGUGGACAGAGUCUGAGCCCAGUCUGGGCCUCUCAGAAAGAGCAGGAUGAGAAGAAAGAGACGCAGGAAAAAAGCAUCGGAAGCUAAGGAAGGGGACAGCAACAAGAAGGGCAGAGAGGGGGACGUGAGCCUGGGUUUUGUGGAUAAUGACAGAAACGAUCCAGAGAACAGACCGAAGCUGGUUAAAGAGACGACCGGCGUCAAAGUCAAGACCAGGUUAGCGGGCUGAUCCUGAGCAGAUGAACUCAGCCUUGCUGAGCCUCGGUCUCCCAAUCUGCGAAGUGCGAGGAGCCGUCCUCCUUGAGCUGUGAGGAGUAAGCAGAUGAGUCGGAGGUACAGCCCUUUCAUCACAUCCCGACAGAGCCUGGCAAUCCGAGUAUUCCAGCACACUAGGUGCCAUCCUCGCCGUGGUGACGCCUCAGCGCCCAGCCAGACCGAGGGUGCAAUCCUGCCGUUCAGCAUUCCGUGAGUACCUACCACUAAGCAAAGAUAACGUGGACAGUGGUGACAAACUCAGAAUCUCCAACGAGACCGGCUUGAAUCCGCAUGCCAGGACAGCCUCGACUAGUUACAGAGACUUGAACAACUUAUUGACCAUCCCAAGUUCCCAGUUUCAGCUCCAUUCAUCCUUUCCAGGGGCUUUCUUGAGGAGGACGGCAUGAGACACAGAUGCACAAUGCCCAACACAAAGUUACUGCUCAGCGGAUGCCAGUACCCCGUAACGAUGCCGACGAUGACGGACAGUGAUGAUGGUGUGCCUGGCACCACACCAGGCACCGGAAGAGAAGGCCUAGGAACACUCGGAAGACCCACAGCUCCUGGCAAUCGUGGUCUUCGGACCACGUCCGAACCAGGCACAAGCACACCUAGCUUCAUCCUGACAAGACUAAGCAGAUGAGACCGAGGGUGUUCAAGUGGGGGGCCCAGGAGGAGACGGCUUGGAGGAAAAAGAUGGAGAUGCCAAGGAAAAGCCAAACUGCUGAGCCAGUUAAAUACUUGGUAAGGAAACUCUAAUCUUGGGGAACUUUAAGAAGAAACAAAAACACGGAAUCUAUAAAUACGAAUACUCAGAGAGUCUAAGCAUGUGCGGGGUCAAGGCGGGGGACGCGCGUCGGAAACGGUACUCACAGACUGGAAGUCUGAUGGUGCCCACGGGGAGAAGGUUCCUGAAAGAACAGCGCCGUUAAAAGCUUCGAUCAACAAUCCCGACCACGAUGUGGUCCGUCCUACGACCACAGCUUCUCAGUCUCCAGGAACAGCGACCCCAGAACCUCUGAGGAGCUUCUCCCAUCAAAUUCCCCACGCAAGGGACCGUGGCACUUCCGCCCAGGUGGCUGAGCUGAAGCGAGAGUAGGCCCCAGCAGUGACAACAAACACUCCAAGGACACAAUGCGGUGCCACGUGCCAAGUGAAAAUCCGAGCGACAAGGGCUGGGGACAGCCUGUGCUGGAGGGUAGGUCCUGGCAGAGGUGAGACGGCAGAGGCAGACACGGAAAAAGCCGCCGCGGGCAGGGAGCUGGACCAGGAAGCAGACAACGAGGGGCCUGGCAGACACCGGCCCUGGGCACACGGGCCUCCCCUGCGUGCAGGGCAGAGGAAGAUGCGUGAGGGCCAGGGCGGGUCCCCAGCAGGCAGGAGUGAACCCCGGCACCAGCAGAGACGCCGAGGGGAACAUGCCAAGGCCAGCACAGUGACUGACGGGGCAGACGCGCCCAGAGAAGGUCAGGCGUAGGUGGCGGAUGUUGUGACGGGUGUGUGCCCUCUUUCUGAGGGGACGCUUUCUCCUGAGCAGACUGACUCUGUCUGUCUGUCGGGCCAAAAUUUCAGGCUCCGAAGUGUCCUGCCCAAGCUGGCUUCUCCACCACCUCCUGGGAAAACGCAAGGGGCCAACUGUCUUCGGCUAGGCCACUGAUGGUUAGGUCUGCUGCCACAGACAGCUCCCCAUGCAGCCUCACGCAGAAUCCAGGCCGGCGAUGGGAGCAGCACCUGCUAUUCUGAAAACGGACCAGGGCACAGAGGACAUGGGCAGUGCGAUGUGCCCAAGCCCCGGGCCCAGGGGCCUCCAGGGCUGCCCACGAUGCAGGGGGCAAAGCCUCCUGGGACUCAGGGGGUAACUCAACUUGCCUCCUGGCCGGCUGCUCAUGAAAUCCUGGCCCUGUCAAUGAACAGAAAUAAUUUCCAGAGAGACAGCCUGUGGCUGGGCCACGUGAGCCCACGUGGAGGGACCUCUGGCCCAUCCCUGCAAGGUGGAAGCGGCCGCCUGGGCCACGGGCCAGACGUGGCCGGGGUGGGAGGGGCCUUGACUCCUCUGGGCACAGGUGGGGACCCUCAGACGGUGGUACUGCUGUUCCUGGGGUCCUCGGUCUUGAUCGGAAAGGGAAGCUCUGGGCGGGAGGAGACGGUCCUGGGGUACACAGAACCUGGGCCACUGACGACGCACGGGCCGUGGCGACCUCUGCGUGACCACAUGAGCUUAACACCACGAGUCUCAAACAUGGAGCUUCUUUCCUGCCCCAGACCCAACCGUGGCCUGGCUGAGCUGAGUCAGAACUAGACGGCAGGUGCCACACACACGAGGCGGACGGGGGUUCCCCACAUGAGGCUGACGUGUGCCUUCAUUUCCAUUUGGCCUGUUCCCCACCCCGCAGGGGCCCGCCCGCGCCUGAGCCUGGGGCCUCGAGGGAAGAGGGAAGAGGAACGACCCUGGGGCCACCGCGCACACCAGGGCGCAGAGGCCAGGCUUUCAGCAAAGUGCCAACCCUGCCGGGAGCUGGAGCAGAGACAGGGCACUCUCCUGACGGGGAGGAGGGGCUGAGCUCGGAGGGGCUCCUGGGGGCCUCGCGGGCAAGGACGCGGCGUGUCGCUGCGGUAGCUCGGGUCUGAUCACUGGCCUGGGAACUUCCGCGUGGAGCAGGCGAGGCCCCCCAAAUUAAAUACAUAAAUAAAUACAUACAUAAUGCACUAAAUAACAGCAGAGUUCCCGUCGUGGCUCAGUGGUUAAG
Molecule: non-coding RNA, 3666 nt
Organism: Sus scrofa (pig)
Lineage: Eukaryota; Metazoa; Chordata; Mammalia; Artiodactyla; Suidae
Source: RefSeq, a predicted model, not a curated record